CUAGCUCUGAGGACUGGCCCCUUAGCUUUAACUGGAUGUUUGAAGAAUGUGAAGAUGCACGGUGAAGGCUCCUCUACAGGCGUAGAGAUAGUGUCAUGUUUGACCUGCAACUGCGUUAUUUGUUUAAAUCAUUUGUUUUAAAAAAGAGUUUUCUUAGGUGACAUUGUGGUUAUAUUAGAAGAAAAAAGGGAUAGGAGCCCAUAGUACCUCAGUGCUUUUCUGGCAUUGAUAAAUCACCAGGAGCAAGCAAUCUAUAAUUUCAAUUAAUAUUGCAUUUUCAAGAAUAGG
Molecule: long non-coding RNA, 288 nt
Filed under: Homo sapiens (human)
Lineage: Eukaryota; Metazoa; Chordata; Mammalia; Primates; Hominidae
Description: non-protein coding lnc-WDR36-1:1
Source: RNAcentral